This 773-nucleotide ribosomal RNA is filed under the name uncultured Neocallimastigales. Its description in RNAcentral is "partial large subunit ribosomal RNA". It matches the Rfam family "Eukaryotic large subunit ribosomal RNA", at positions 1 to 639 of the family's 3401-position model. The record is from RNAcentral. Lineage: Eukaryota; Fungi; Neocallimastigomycota; Neocallimastigomycetes; Neocallimastigales.
AGAGAGAGACAUGCGCGCAUAUCAAUAAGCGGAGAAAAGAAACUAACUAGGAUUCCCUCAGUAACGGCGAGUGAAGCGGGAAGAGCUCAAAUUUGAAAUCUUCAAGGUUCUACCUUGACGAAUUGUAGUUUAAAGAAGUGUUUUCUGUUGAAGUUUUGGUAAAAGUUCUUUGGAAUAGGACAUCAUAGAGGGUGAGAAUCCCGUAUUUGACCAUUAUUUCCAGCUUUGUGAUACACUUUCAAAGAGUCGGAUUGUUUGGGAAUGCAGUCCAAAAUGGGUGGUAAAUUUCAUCUAAAGCUAAAUAUUGGCGAGAGACCGAUAGCGAACAAGUACCGUGAGGGAAAGAUGAAAAGAACUUUGAAAAGAGAGUUAAACAGUACGUGAAAUUGUCAAAAGGGAAGCGUUUGACACCAGUGUUGUUUUCUCGAAAAUCAAUUAAAAAAGGCAGGAUUUUGUGUUGUAUUGACUUUAUCAGCUUUCUGCACUCUUUUCUUGUCUUUUUUAAUGCACUUUUCGUUUAACAAGUCAACAUCAAUUUCUUUUGUUGUAAAAGGGUCAUUGGAAGGUGGCUUUCUUUUCGGAGAAAGUGUUUAUAGCCUUUGGCCUCUGCAAUCGGAGAGAUUGAGGUCUGCAGCGUAGAUCCUUCGGGGCUAAAUGCAUUUGUGCUAAGUUAUAGCAUUUUAUAGACAACUUGUUGACUAUGAUUUGUCUUGUAGCUUACUCGCUUAUGUUAUUUUACCUACGCUUAGGAUGUUGAUGUGAUACUGCGAGCA